AAAUCUGGACACAACAGUUUUGGCACCCAUCAAGUAGAAAGUUUGCUCAAUUUUUCUUUUUUUUUUUUGAGAUGGAGUCUCACUCUGUGACUAGGAUGGAAUGCAGUGGUGCAACCCCUGCCUCCCUAGUUCAAGAGAUUCUCCUGCCUCAGCGGAGGAUCACUUGAGACCGGGAGUUUAAGACCAGCCUGGGCAACAUAAUGAAACCUUACCAUAAGCUGCCAUGCUGGCCACCCAGGAUGUGGCCCAGAGGUGCAAGGAGCUGGGCAUCACUGCCCUACACAUCAAACUCUGGGCCACAGGAGGAAACAGGAACAAGUCCCCUAGACCUGGGGCCCAGAUGUCCCUCAGAGCCCCUUGCCUGCUCAGGUAUGAAGAUCCGGCAGAUUGAAGAUGUCACUCCAUUUCCCCUCUGACAGCACUCCCAGGAAGGGGGGUCACC
This 442-nucleotide long non-coding RNA is filed under the name Homo sapiens (human). RNAcentral describes it as "HSALNT0227385". The record is from RNAcentral. Lineage: Eukaryota; Metazoa; Chordata; Mammalia; Primates; Hominidae.